RNAcentral lists this transfer RNA (64 nucleotides) under Savignium sp. BKKC-2014. RNAcentral's name for it is "tRNA-Glu". Lineage: Eukaryota; Metazoa; Arthropoda; Thecostraca; Balanomorpha; Pyrgomatidae. The record is from RNAcentral.
AUCUCAGUAGUGUAAAUUAACACACUUCAUUUUCGUUGAUGAGAAGAAUAUAAUUCCUGAGAUA